UAUUGCGGAUGUGAUCGUGGAGUGUGUUUUAAGUUUCAAAUAAUAUUAUGAUUAAUUGUACAGUUACACGUUUCUGUGUGUCCAGAAUUUGCUAACGUGAAUUGCUAUUUAAGUAAUUAAAAUGGAUUCAUGUGUGCUAUCACGGAUAAAUGUACCAACUAAGAAGGUUUACUUCCAAGCGUAUGGCGCCCAUCUCGCGUUUAUUGAAUCGGAUCGAGAACAGAAAUUAAUUCAAGCACAAGCUCUUUCCGCGAUGGGAUCCCAGACGGACCCAUUAAAGUUCUACUGGCUAGGUGGGACAGAUGCCGUGUCUAAGGGCGAAUGUUACUGCACAAACAUAGUAGAACUAAUCACGUGGGGCUAUAAGAUGCAAAAAGCUUUUCCCAGGCAAAAAGACAACAGUGCCAGUACCUGUGAGAGCUAGACAAGGACUAAGUAGUAGUGAUGUCAAACCUUCCUCAGAAACAGACAGCCUAGGCCUUUCGAGAGCAUUUCAUGAAGAUAUGCAGUCAAUUCAUAGAAAACCCGUUGAUGCAGUCUGCCUGUGGACUCCUGUGUAAAUGGACAGCUAGCUGAAAAUUAUGCUCGUUAUGGCUAAGUGUUCCUAGAGUCAGAUGCUGCGCUUCAAAAGAAUCCAUUCGCUUCAAGAGAAUCCAUUUGGAUGUUGCAAAUUUUCUGUACACCAAAUAAAUGAAUACAUGUUUACUUUACUUUAUGUUUUUAUGCCCCCCUUCGAAGAAGAGGGGGUAUAAUGUUUUGUACAUGUCGGUCGGUCGGUCCGUCGGUCGGUCCGUCCACCGAAUGGUUUCCGGAUGAUAACUCAUGAACGCUUACGCCUAGGAUCAUGAAACUUCAAAGGUACAUUGAUCAUGACUGGCAGAUGACCCCUAUUGAUUUUCAGGUUACUAGGUCAAAGGUCAAGGUCACGGUGACUCGAAGCAGUAAAAUGGUUUCCGGAUGAUAACUCAAGAACGCUUACGCCUAGGAUCAUGAAACUUCAUAGGUACAUUGAUCAUGACUCGCAGAUGACCCCUAUUGAUUUUCAGGUUACUAGGUCAAAGGUCAAGGUCACGGUGACUCGAACCAGUAAAAUGGUUUCCGGAUGGUAACUCAAGAACGCUUACGCCUAGGAUCAUGAAACUGCAUAGGUACAUUGAUCAUGACUCGCAGAUGACCCCAAUUGAUUUUCAGGUCACUAGGUCAAAGAUCAAGGUCACGGUGACUCGAACCAGUAAAAUGGUUUCCGGAUGAUAACUCAAGAACGCUUACGCCUAGGAUCAUGAAAAUUCAUAGGUACAUUGAUCAUGACUCGCAAGUGACCCCUAGUGAUUUUCAGGUCACUAGGUCAAAGGUCAAGGUCAUGGUGACUUGACACAGUAGAAUGGUUUCCGGAUGAUAACUCAAGAAAGCUUACGCUUAGGAUCAUAAAACUUCAUAGGUACAUUUAUCAUGACUCGAAGAUGACCCCUAGUGAUUUUCAGGUCAAAAGUCAAGGUCACGGUGACACGACAAAGUAAAAUAGUUUCCGGAUGAUAACUCAAGAAUGCUUACGCCUAGGAUCAUGACACUUCAUAGAUAUAUUGAUCAUGACUGGCAGAUGAUCCAUAUUGAUUUUCAGGUCACUUGGUCAAAGUUCAAGGCCAAUGUCACAAAAAACGAAUUCACACAACGGCUGCAACUACAACAACUGACAGCCCAUAUGGGGGGCAUGCAUGUUGUACAAACAGCCCUUGUUAUUUAUGUUGUCAAUGUGCAUUUUAAAGGGGCCUUUUCACAGAUUUUGGCAUUUUUUAACUUAUUCAUUAAAUGCUUUAUAUUGAUAAAUGUAAACAUUGGAUCGUAAAAGCUCCAGUAAAAAAUCAAGAAUAAAAUUUAAAAAAGGAAAAGAACAUUGCCCGGAGCAGGUUUCGAACCAGUGACCCCUGGAGUCCUGCAAGAGUCCUGAAGUAAAAACGCUUUAGCCUACUGAGCUAUUCCGCCGAGUACACAUACUUAACGUAUUUUAUACAUUAUAUAAGCAAUUUUCGUAGUUGCAAAAAAAUUAACGACCAAAACAGAACUCUCCAAAUUAUUCAAUCGUUACGCGUUGCAACGCUUUAUACUUUUUAGGUUUUAAAAUCGUCAAAAGAUGCGUAUAAUGGCUAUAUUAGAGCAUGGUAAUUGUUCAGUAUUACUGUUUCCUCACAAAUAUCAUAACUAAAACGAAAAUUUGCGAAUCUGAAACAACUUUUUUCAAUUUUGUCAAUUUACCAAAGCGUGAGAAGAUCCCUUUAAAUCAUCCUUUGUUAAUAAUUACAAAAGUUAUGUCCCCUGUUCAUUCCCCCGGAUCGAAUGAUCGGGGCUAUAUUGUUUUUUGCCUGUCUGUAUGUCUGUCUGUAAUCUCUCCAAAAACUUAAACCUUGGUUAAAGUCUUGUGAUAACUUUUGCAAUAUUGAAGAUAGCAACUUAAUAUUUGGCAUGCAUGUGUAUCUCAUGGAGCUGCACAUUUUAAGUGGGGAAAGGUAAAGGUCAUCCGUCAAGGUCAAAGGUUAAAUAUAUGGCUUCAAAGCGGUGCAGUAGGGGGCAUUGUGUUUUACAAACACAGCUCUUGUUAACUUUGACAUUAAUAACAUCAUGCUACGUAUUAAAUAAUGCAUCAUGGGGGUAUUCUACAUCAUUAGUGAUUAUGAUAUAAAAAGAGCUAAUUCUCUGAAGUUAAAAAAUAUCAUACUUACAACCGAUUAUCCAUUUUGUGAAUAUACUUAAAAAAAUACAUAUAUUUAUACGUCCAUACCAUUGACACAUUUACAAGACUGUAAGUAAAUCUCAUCUAUUGGACUGUUAAAGGUGUGGUUUAAAAAUGGAUUUUAAUGGUUCACAUAUUUGCUUGAUAUUGAGCCAGUAGACAAUAAUUUAAAAUAAUGACAUAACUUCUGUUUAUUCUGUGUAACAAUAUAUUUUCACUGACUUACGUCAUAGCUAAAGGGUUUUAAUAUAGGUGAUAAU
This is a long non-coding RNA of Dreissena polymorpha, 2985 nucleotides long. RefSeq lists it as uncharacterized. The transcript is spliced from 7 exons. NCBI's taxonomy places the organism in Eukaryota, Metazoa, Mollusca, Bivalvia, Myida, Dreissenidae. The record is from RefSeq and is a predicted model, not a curated record.